Molecule: ribosomal RNA, 253 nt
Filed under: uncultured bacterium
Lineage: Bacteria
Also listed under: 1 other name
Description: partial 16S ribosomal RNA
Rfam family: Bacterial small subunit ribosomal RNA
Source: RNAcentral
UACGUAGGGCGCAAGCGUUGUCCGGAUUUAUUGGGCGUAAAGAGCUCGUAGGCGGCCUGUCGCGUCUGCUGUGAAAUCCCGGGGCUUAACCCCGGGCGUGCAGUGGAUACGGGCUGGCUGGAGGCAGGCAGGGGAGAAUGGAAUUCCCGGUGUAGCGGUGAAAUGCGCAGAUAUCGGGAGGAACACCGGUGGCGAAGGCGGUUCUCUGGGCCUGUUCUGACGCUGAGGAGCGAAAGCGUGGGGAGCGAACAGG